GCGCACGCUGGCGGCAGGCCUCACCCCUGCAAGUCGAACGAACUCUUCGGAGUUAGUGGCGGAGGGGUGAGUAACACGUGGGAACGUGCCUUUUGGUUCGGAAUAACUCAGGGAAACUUGUGCUAAUACCGAAUGUGCCCUUCGGGGGAAAGAUUUAUCGCCAUUAGAGCGGCCCGCGUCUGAUUAGCUAGUUGGUGAGGUAACGGCUCACCAAGGCGACGAUCAGUAGCUGGUCUGAGAGGAUGACCAGCCACACUGGGACUGAGACACGGCCCAGACUCCUACGGGAGGCAGCAGUGGGGAAUCUUGCGCAAUGGGCGAAAGCCUGACGCAGCCAUGCCGCGUGAAUGAUGAAGGUCUUAGGAUUGUAAAAUUCUUUCACCGGGGACGAUAAUGACGGUACCCGGAGAAGAAGCCCCGGCUAACUUCGUG
RNAcentral lists this ribosomal RNA (432 nucleotides) under uncultured bacterium. RNAcentral's name for it is "partial 16S ribosomal RNA". It matches the Rfam family "Bacterial small subunit ribosomal RNA", at positions 29 to 507 of the family's 1533-position model. The record is from RNAcentral.